This 497-nucleotide ribosomal RNA is filed under the name uncultured bacterium. RNAcentral's name for it is "partial 16S ribosomal RNA". It matches the Rfam family "Bacterial small subunit ribosomal RNA", at positions 28 to 507 of the family's 1533-position model. The record is from RNAcentral.
GAUGAACGCUGGCGGCGUGCCUAAUACAUGCAAGUCGAGCGAACGGACGAGAAGCUUGCUUCUCUGAUGUUAGCGGCGGACGGGUGAGUAACACGUGGAUACCCUACCUAUAAGACUGGGAUAACUUCGGGAAACCGGAGCUAAUACCGGAUAAUAUUUUGAACCGCAUGGUUCAAAAGUGAAAGACGGUCUUGCUGUCACUUAUAGACGGAUCCGCGCUGCAUUAGCUAGUUGGUAAGGUAACGGCUUACCAAGGCAACGAUGCAUAGCCGACCUGGGAGGGUGAUCGGCCACACGGGAACUGAGACACGGUCCAGACUCCUACGGGAGGCAGCAGUAGGGAAUCUUCCGCAAUGGGCGAAAGCCUGACGGAGCAACGCCGCGUGAGUGAUGAAGGUCUUCGGAUCGUAAAACUCUGUUAUUAGGGAAGAACAUAUGUGUAAGUAACUGUGCACAUCUUGACGGUACCUAAUCAGAAAGCCACGGCUAACUACGUG